GAUAGGCUAAUUAAGAGCGUAAGGGGAAUGCCUUGGCUCUCAGAGGCGAUGAAGGACGUGAUAAGCUGCGAAAAGUUGCGGGGAGUGGCACAUACAUUAUAAUCCGCAAAUGUCCGAAUGGGGAAACCCGAUUAUUUGAAGAAUAAUCAUCCAUUUAUGGAAGCUAACCCGGAGAACUGAAACAUCUAAGUACCCGGAGGAAAAGAAAACAAUAGUGAUUCCGCUAGUAGUGGCGAGCGAACGCGGAAUAGCCCAAACCUGAAUUGUUUCGGCAAUUUAGGGGUUGUAGGACCACGAUAUUUAUUGCUUGAUGAAUUA
Molecule: ribosomal RNA, 318 nt
Filed under: uncultured Flavobacteriaceae bacterium
Lineage: Bacteria; Pseudomonadati; Bacteroidota; Flavobacteriia; Flavobacteriales; Flavobacteriaceae
Description: bacterial LSU rRNA
Rfam family: Bacterial large subunit ribosomal RNA
Source: RNAcentral